This is a non-coding RNA of Ixodes scapularis (black-legged tick), 73 nucleotides long. NCBI's taxonomy places the organism in Eukaryota, Metazoa, Arthropoda, Arachnida, Ixodida, Ixodidae. The record is from Rfam.
GCCUCGGUGGCUCCGAGUCGAGAGCGCCGGCCUAUGAAUCCCCAUGUGGUGGGUUCGAAUCCCGGCCGAGGUG